Molecule: long non-coding RNA, 732 nt
Filed under: Rattus norvegicus (Norway rat)
Lineage: Eukaryota; Metazoa; Chordata; Mammalia; Rodentia; Muridae
Description: long non-coding RNA NONRATT027694
Source: RNAcentral
UGCGGCAGAUUCGACAAGGCAACACCAAGCAGCGCAUCGAUGAGUUUGAAGCAAUGUGGGGACCCAAACUGUAUGCACUGUUCCAGAUGCGUUCUUGUCAAAGCAGCAUAAAGCAGAUGUAACAGGACGAUGCCUCCCUCCUCAUGAGGUCCCGGGUGACUGACCCACGGUGGGCUUUAGACUCAGGAUGUACAGAGUCAGCCCUGAGUCUUGAACACAUACACUCCCACACUCUGGUAUCUCCAUCAACCAGGGCACUUGCUGAUGCUUCUCCCCAGCGCCUGUUUGCUGUGCUGUGUGUUUCCUGCACUUCCUCACUGCCUUUCCCAGGAUCAGACCUCGGGAGAUGGACCAGGACGUGGGGUGUCUGUGGCCCUGUAGUCCUGAGCCAGCAUCUGCUGAGCUCGGCUUGAGAUGCCACUUUCUCAAAUGUGCUGGAAGGCCUAAGCUUCUGGAAAUACCACCGAGUCCCCUCCCCCAGCACCUUUUUCUGCAUGAUUGAUUAGCUCAUAAUAUGGAAUAGACGGGGAGAAUUUUCAAGACUUUACAACUUUUUAAAAAAAUGUAUGUGACUUAUGACUUAUCUUUGGCUUCUCUCUGAGAACAAACUUGGUAAACUUCCUUCCUUGUGAGUUCCUGUGGAAUCUGCAGAAAUCGAUGUGACAUACCCCCUCCUGUCUGGUCUGUUUGUAUAAUUGUAUAUAAAUACAGCAAUAAAUAUAUUCUACCGUC